Molecule: ribosomal RNA, 659 nt
Filed under: uncultured bacterium
Lineage: Bacteria
Description: bacterial SSU rRNA
Rfam family: Bacterial small subunit ribosomal RNA
Source: RNAcentral
AGUGGCGGACGGGUGAGUAACGCGUGAGAAUCUGCCUUGGGGUCGGGGACAACCACUGGAAACGGUGGCUAAUACCGGAUAAGCCGAUUGGUGAAAGAUUUAUUGCCCGAAGAGGAGCUCGCGUCUGAUUAGCUAGUUGGUGAGGUAAGAGCUCACCAAGGCAGCGAUCAGUAGCUGGUCUGAGAGGACGAUCAGCCACACUGGGACUGAGACACGGCCCAGACUCCUACGGGAGGCAGCAGUGGGGAAUUUUCCGCAAUGGGCGAAAGCCUGACGGAGCAAGACCGCGUGAGGGAGGAAGGCUCUUGGGUUGUAAACCUCUUUUCUCAGGGAAGAAGCUCUGACGGUACCUGAGGAAUCAGCCUCGGCUAACUCCGUGCCAGCAGCCGCGGUAAUACGGAGGAGGCAAGCGUUAUCCGGAAUUAUUGGGCGUAAAGCGUCCGCAGGUGGCGAUUCAAGUCUGCUGUCAAAGCACGGGGCUUAACUCCGUAAAGGCAGUGGAAACUGAAUAGCUAGAGUGCCGUAGGGGUAGAGGGAAUUCCCGGUGUAGCGGUGAAAUGCGUAGAGAUCGGGAAGAACAUCGGUGGCGAAAGCGCUCUACUGGACGGCAACUGACACUCAGGGACGAAAGCUAGGGGAGCGAUGGGAUUAGAUACCCC